Long non-coding RNA from Protopterus annectens (West African lungfish), 1501 nucleotides. RefSeq lists it as uncharacterized. NCBI's taxonomy places the organism in Eukaryota, Metazoa, Chordata, Ceratodontiformes, Protopteridae. The record is from RefSeq and is a predicted model, not a curated record. The transcript is spliced from 2 exons.
GAUAAUGUAUUCUCACUAUCAAGUUUUACUUUCUUUCUCCUCAUUUUGAAAAGUAAAGGAAAUAAUUUUGGUUGGCUUUUUUAGGUAAGCCUCCCUGCAAAAAAUAGUUUUAUGUUUUGUGACCUUGACAGUUUCAGUCUUUUAAGUAGUACCUAUGAUUGUAAAUGUUUUGUAGAUGACUAGUCAUCUGUUGAUUAAAUGAGAUAUGACUAUUCAGUUAAGCCAUUUUAAAUACUGAACUUUAGCUAAAUACUUUGAAUGGAAUAUGCUAUUAUCACAGUUAUUUUGUUUAAUGAUGGUGUUCUACUAAAUUGUGGAGUUGAAUCACUAAAUCUCAAACUUUGACAAGUGAAGCUGAUAUCCACAUUUCUUCUUCUUACAUCAGGCAGCAUUUGUUCUCAUCAUUUUAAUGGUCCAAGGCUAGUGGAGUCUAGUUUGGGGCCAUUCUAUGCAGGAACUAGUAAAAACAUCUUUCUUCAAGGGUAAAAAUGUGUUAUUUAAACAUUUCAAGGGCAAUUAAACCAGAUUUUAGUUUCCUUUUUUUUCUGUCACUGAUAGUCUGUCAGCAUAUUUCAGCAAAUCUGAUAUUUAGGGUCCCUUUCAGAAAGUUGAUGUUGACUUUCUGAAGAUCAAGACCGGAAAUUUGAAAGCUCACUUAACUGAGCAUGAGCAACACUGAAAUGUAGAAGGUGGAAACAUUAUGGCAGAAGGACCAGCAUGUUGGUGCUUCAGAAAAGUAAGUAGUCAGGUACUAGUGAUCAGCAAUCCUCGGGGUAGGGGAAUAUGCCCUUUGUGGAUAGUGCGAUCUUUGAGUUAGUAUAUAUAAUUAGAAGCGGGUGUGGGGGGCACAGGGGAACUUGCCCUCUUGCAAAAACACUGUUAGAUGGAUUUAUUUUAAGUGUUUUGUUUAACAGGGACAUUGUUUUACCUGCUGGCAUAAACAUUUGAUCCUCCUCAUUUCGAUGCUGUGGAUACCGGAUUAAGUGAGCAUUUGAGUGCCUGGUCUCAGUUUCUAGAAAACUGAUGUUGUGGUCUGUUGACUUUCUAAACCAGAUCUGGUGCAACAACCAUGCACUGUAGUUUUAAGAAUUUUCAGUUUGUACUGACUUUUGUCAGAAAACUGUUAAUAGUUUUAAAGUUUAAAUGAAAGUAUGUUUUAUAAUCUAUUGGUUCAUAUUUCACCUGCAAGAAAAGUCAUUCCUGAAAUAGGAAGUGAGCUGUGUUUGCAGAUUAGUAUGCUUUUAUAUGUCUCCAGUUUUAUUUAGUUAAAACUGCAAUAUGAUAUUCUUUGUGUGACUGAAUGUUUAAAUGCCUUUGAUUUAUUUUAUGCUGCGCUUUUAUUUUAAUUUAUUAUAUCUGUUGUUAUUAAAAUAUGAGAAUGCACUGCAUACAUUUAGAGUCUUUUUUUAUCUUCCAGUUUAUUAAGGCAGCAUUACAGUUAUUGUUUGUUGUGCUUCUAUUUUAAUUUAUUAUAUUUGCUGUUAUUAAAAGAUGAAAUGUA